This is a long non-coding RNA of Mirounga angustirostris (Northern elephant seal), 2039 nucleotides long. RefSeq lists it as uncharacterized. The transcript is spliced from 7 exons. The record is from RefSeq and is a predicted model, not a curated record. NCBI's taxonomy places the organism in Eukaryota, Metazoa, Chordata, Mammalia, Carnivora, Phocidae.
CCCCUUCUGCAGCUUCAGCCCUCGUUUCCCUCCGGCUGUGGUGCCGGCUUCCCUCUGAAGAGCGUUGACUCGGAAAGGCCACGAUCCUGGUGCCGGCGUCCGCAAUGCGAGUAGCCAAGCACCCGGACAUCCUGCUGGCACAGAAUCAAAUGUUUAAUGGUGAAUGAAGGCGAAAUAACCACCAUGGUUCGGAAACGUUCCAUUCAAGUAAUCACAAGUAAUUACAGAGCUGUCUCUGACGGUUGAUGUCCUGAAAGCCACGUGCCAACUGACCAGUGGUGGUAAUAGAAAGAUGAAAUGGGAAUUUGGCCUCUACUGCACUGAAGAGGAAAAGAAUGUAAGUUGACAAAACUUGAAAGGGCUGACACUGUCCUGCUGGUGCUGGAAAUCUGUUAAUGAUAAGGACAAGGUCAAAAGCACCAAAGUACCAUGAUGAAAAGAGUAGUUCUGAAGUGAAUGGAAAUACAGGUGUGUACCCAACUCUGAAGAUUUAUUUUUAAUUCAAGACUUGAAAUCUCCAGCCACAUCUGCCCAUUGACCACUCCAGACAUUUUGUUGCUGUGGCAAGGACUGCAAAUACCAUGUUGAAGAAAAGUGGGGAGAGAGGCACCUGACCAACUCAGUCAGAAGAGCAUGUGACUCUUGCUCUCGGGAUUAGAGAGAGACAGCAAGAGAGGAAACACAAGCAGAGGGAGUGGGAGAGGGAGAAGCAGGCUUCCCGCCGAACAGGGAGCUUGACAUGGGGCUCGAUCCCAGGACCCCAGGACCAUGAUCUGAGCCGAAGGCAGAUGCUUAACGACUGAGCCACCCAGGGAUCCCUAACUCCGCUUACACUACUGGGAUGGGACUUUCCAGCGCUAAGAAGCAACAAAGGUUGAGACAAUGGAGGAACUUCCCAGCUGGGACGUCUCAUGACAAAUGCAGUGGGAGCUGGCACGUCCAGAUUCUUGGAACCCUAGUCUAUUUGACUGGCCUGCAAAGUGCACCCUGAAGAAGAUCCCACCAGAUGACCCAGACUGAUCUUAUUUCAAGAUAAUUUCCUUUAAAGAGAAAUCAGGAAGGAAUUUGUUAUACACAAUUUAGAUCUGGAAGCAUCCAAAGCCUGCUGAGGAAUGACAGUUUCCAGUAUAGAAAGUAACUUUAACAUUUUCUGUUAGUUUGUUCAUUCUGGGGGAAGAGUUCUUUCAACUUGUCCUUUAACUCUUCAUGACCUGUGUCCUGUUUCCAACCAGGACCAACUUUCUUCUGAGGUUGGGAAUUGGAACACCUUUCCAAUAUUCUUUCCUGCUUCCACAUCCCAGCCCCUUCUGUGAGCCAAGUCCUCAAAACACAUAGUAUAAUCCUGUUUCAAUUGUAAAAUUAUAACCUAAGCAUUUCUUUAUUCAUGGAAUUAAAAGAUAAGUCAGAAUUUUUCUUUGUUUUCCUUUCCCCAUUGUAUUUACAAAUGAAAUGGAACCUACCAGCAUAUUGUUUUUUGAGCCCUCGAAUAUUUCUCUAUCCCUGCAGUUAUAUUGAAAUAGAACAGAUGGAAGCACAGUAGGAUCUGUCACAUAUGCUACACAGAGAGUCAAAAGGCUAUCAGUGCUUUCCAAAACAAGCAAGAGAAAGAAAGAAAGGGGGGCAGAGGGUGCAGAGAACAGUGGCUAUUCUUGAUAUAUGUUAACUGGUACCACGUGGCUCAUUAAACUGUUUUGAGAAGGAAGUUAAGCCCUGGAAAAGCCACUCUCUCCAUAAAUGCUACUUUUUUCUUUUUCUUUUUUAAGUAGGCUCCAUACCCAGCAUGGAGCCCAACGCAGGGCUUGAACUCAUGGCCCUGAGAUCAAGACUUGAGCUGAGAUCGAGACCUAAGCUGAGAUCAAGAGUUGGAUGCUUAGCCAACUGAGCCACUCAGGGGAUCCAAGUGCUAAAUUUUCUAAGCACUAUUUUAUUUUGUUUUUUUUUUUUUUUUUAGAUUUUAUUUAUUUAUUUGAGAGAGAGAAUGAGAGACAGAGAGCAUGAGAGGGAGGAGGGUGAGAGGGAGAAGCAGACUCCCCGCUGAG